This 230-nucleotide long non-coding RNA is filed under the name Pandoravirus neocaledonia. RNAcentral describes it as "hypothetical ncRNA". The record is from RNAcentral.
CCGAAUGCGACUGGUUGCGCAUUUUGUGCAUGAUUUAUUUCGGUAUUCGGAAAAUAGUGUUGGCGGGUUCGAUCCCCGACGGGGAUCGAGUUGGCCGCGGCCCGGCCCGACUGGGAGUGGGCCGGCCAUGGGUCGGCUGGCCAUUAACCAGCAUUAGGAAGGACGCCGUUCGAGGAAAAAAGGCUCGGCCGGGACUCACGAUCGUAUAAUCGACCAAGCAAAAAAAAAGU